Ribosomal RNA from Aminomonas paucivorans DSM 12260, 116 nucleotides. NCBI's taxonomy places the organism in Bacteria, Thermotogati, Synergistota, Synergistia, Synergistales, Synergistaceae. The record is from Rfam.
UCUGGUGGCCCUAGCGGAGGGGACACACCCGGAUCCAUGCCGAACCCGGCCGUUAAGCCCUCCAGCGCCGAUGGUACUACGGGGGGUACCCGUGGGAGAGUAGGUCGCCGCCAGAA